This 490-nucleotide ribosomal RNA is filed under the name uncultured bacterium. Its description in RNAcentral is "partial 16S ribosomal RNA". It matches the Rfam family "Bacterial small subunit ribosomal RNA", at positions 30 to 507 of the family's 1533-position model. The record is from RNAcentral.
AGCGAACGCUGGCGGCAGGCCUAACACAUGCAAGUCGAACGGCAGCACUGGGGAGUUUGCCCCAUGGGUGGCGCGUGGCGGACGGGUGUGGAAUACAUCGGAAUCUACUUUGUCGUGGGGGCUACCGUUGGGAACCUUACGUUAAUACCGAUUACGACUUCAGGGAGAAGGUUGGGGUUCGAAAGACCCUGUGCGAUUGCUCGAGCCGAGGUCCGCUUAGCUUGUUGGCGGGGGAAAGGCCAACCAGGGCGACGAUCGGUAGCGGGUCUGAGAGGAGGAUCAGCCACACGGGAACUAGAACACGGUCCAGACUCCUACGGGAGGCGGCGGAGGGGAAUAUUGGACAAAGAGCGAAAGCCUGAUCCAGCCAUGCCGCGUAGGUGAAGAGGGCCUUCGGUUGGUAAAGCCCGUUUGUUGGGAAGAAAAACGGUCCGGUUGGAACCCGGAGAGAGUGACGGUACCCAAAGAAAAAGCACCGGCUAACUUCGUG